RNAcentral lists this ribosomal RNA (582 nucleotides) under uncultured Glomeromycotina. RNAcentral describes it as "LSU rRNA". It matches the Rfam family "Eukaryotic large subunit ribosomal RNA", at positions 204 to 637 of the family's 3401-position model. Lineage: Eukaryota; Fungi; Glomeromycota. The record is from RNAcentral.
CAUGGAGGGUGAGAAUCCCGUUCGGUUGAUCAGAUUCGCUUUACGAUACAGUCAUCAAAGAGUCAAGUUGUUUGGGAUUGCAGCUUAAAAUGGGAGGUAAAUUUCUCCUAAGGCUAAAUAGCGGCGAGAGACCGAUAGCGAACAAGUACCGUGAGGGAAAGAUGAAAAGAACUUUGAAAAGAGAGUUAAACAGUACGUGAAAUUGUUGAAAGGGAAACGAUUGAAGCCAGUCGUACCGGUGGGUAAUCAGCCUUUCGGGUGUGAUUAUGUGGAGCGUGAGGAGUUAAACGCCUUCAUGCCUUCAUAUUCGUGCACUUUGGGUGUAUUUGCCCGCAUGGUAGGUUAACAUCAAUUUCGGAUGCCAUAAAAUGGUUGGAGGAAUGUAGCUUCGGUUUCGUACUGAAGUGUUAUAGCCUUUGGCAGAUGUGGUGAUCGAGAUUGAGGAUUGCAACGGAUACCCUUCGGGGCCACCCGUCUGAUCUCUGAUCGUUACUCUGGUGCCGAAAGCGUGCUUACGGUUAUCAAAGUUGAUGGUCAAUAGGUUAGAACGGGUUAAAUUCGUUAAGGAUGUUGACGUAAUGG